Molecule: unclassified non-coding RNA, 235 nt
Filed under: Hevea brasiliensis (rubber tree)
Lineage: Eukaryota; Viridiplantae; Streptophyta; Magnoliopsida; Malpighiales; Euphorbiaceae
Source: RNAcentral
UCUAAACUCUUGGAUUAGAUGUGGAGUAUCAAAGGUAGACUUUCAACAAGGUUAAUGAAUAUUUGCGUAGCAUCUCUUUGUAAAGCGAAACAAUUGGAGAAAGCUGAAGUUGUAAUAGUUGAUGGCAUAAGAAUUGGAGUACAACCAGAUGUGGUCACUUAUAAUACACUGAUUACCGCAUAUUGUCGCUUUGUUGGCAUUGAUGCAGGUUAUUCCGUCCUUUAUAGGAUGAAAG